Molecule: unclassified non-coding RNA, 237 nt
Filed under: Dichotomopilus funicola
Lineage: Eukaryota; Fungi; Ascomycota; Sordariomycetes; Sordariales; Chaetomiaceae
Description: partial internal transcribed spacer region
Rfam family: Eukaryotic small subunit ribosomal RNA (bases 1-46)
Source: RNAcentral
AAGUCGUAACAAGGUCUCCGUUGGUGAACCAGCGGAGGGAUCAUUACAGAGUUGCAAAACUCCCAAACCAUCGUGAACGUUACCUAUAUCGUUGCUUCGGCGGGUGGCGGGCUUCGGCCCUGCCCUCGGCCCCUCGGGGGCCCGCCGGAGGUCUACCAAACUCUUGAACUUUAUGGCCUCUCUGAGUCUUCUGUACUGAAUAAGUCAAAACUUUCAACAACGGAUCUCUUGGUUCUG